AAGUCGUAACAAGGUUUCCGUAGGUGAACCUAUCCAACGUUAAAACAACCCUGUGAACCUUAGCCUGCUCGCGUAGCCCAUGAAAGCAGCAAUCCCUGGUAAAUCAUUGUUAACCAGUUUUUGAGUCAGGGACCUCUGCCGAUGAAAAGUUACAGUUACGUUCGUAGCGGUAGUCAAAGCGACUCGGCACCCCCAAGCAGUCAUUGUCUGAAAGCGUCAUUGAUUGUGUAAGGGUGGCGCUAUCGAUCGUUGGAGGCCGACACGGCUGACGACCGGGUCCCUGGGUCACCAUGCCCCUUACUAACCACACUGUAAAUAAGUUGGGCCUGCGUUAGAUUCGCGGUCAAAAAAAAACGAACAACUGUUAACAAUGGAUAUCUUGGUUCUC
RNAcentral lists this unclassified non-coding RNA (388 nucleotides) under fungal sp. RNAcentral describes it as "partial internal transcribed spacer region". Lineage: Eukaryota; Fungi. The record is from RNAcentral.